UCCCUGAUGGUUUGGUGGCUAAAACUCUGUGCUCUCAAUGCAGGGGUCCCAGGUUCAAUCCCUGGUUAGGGAA
Bos taurus (domestic cattle) is the source of this 73-nucleotide non-coding RNA. Lineage: Eukaryota; Metazoa; Chordata; Mammalia; Artiodactyla; Bovidae. The record is from Rfam.